RNAcentral lists this ribosomal RNA (253 nucleotides) under uncultured bacterium. RNAcentral describes it as "partial 16S ribosomal RNA". It matches the Rfam family "Bacterial small subunit ribosomal RNA", at positions 524 to 776 of the family's 1533-position model. The record is from RNAcentral.
UACGAAGGGGGCUAGCGUUGCUCGGAAUCACUGGGCGUAAAGCGCACGUAGGCGGAUUGUUAAGUCAGGGGUGAAAUCCUGGAGCUCAACUCCAGAACUGCCUUUGAUACUGGCGAUCUCGAGUCCGGGAGAGGUGAGUGGAACUGCGAGUGUAGAGGUGAAAUUCGUAGAUAUUCGCAAGAACACCGGUGGCGAAGGCGGCAUCCUGGACCGGUAUUGACGCUGAGGCGCGAAAGCCAGGGGAGCAAACGGG